RNAcentral lists this unclassified non-coding RNA (997 nucleotides) under Hevea brasiliensis (rubber tree). Lineage: Eukaryota; Viridiplantae; Streptophyta; Magnoliopsida; Malpighiales; Euphorbiaceae. The record is from RNAcentral.
UGACAUGACUGCUCAUGUUGGUGACUUUGGAUUAGCGAGGCUAAUUUCUGAAUGCACCAGUAAUCCUUCUCAAAGCCAAAUUUUCUCAACAGGAAUAAAGGGAACUGUUGGCUACAUGGCUCUAGGUAACAUUUUCCACACUGUCUCCUUUGUUAAACUACUACAUGAAUCAGCAUGGCAUGGCAUAUGCAGCAUGAGGGGGAAAACAUUCUGGACCCCUGAACUUUGCUUGUAUUAAGCCCCUGAACUUCUUUGCUCCGCAUUAAGCCCUCGAGCUUUUUAUUAAAAUUCACAGCAAAUAUUAAAGAUAAUUCCCAAAUUCUUUUGUAGCUAUAUGGAAUAGUAACUGUACAGCCUUGAUCACGUUUUAAUAGAAUUGGAGAUGUAUGAAUUGCAGAAUAUGGAGUAGGCAGCAAUGUGACAACUUAUGGAGACGUGUAUAGCUUUGGAAUACUUUUGUUAGAGAUGUUCACAGGAAAGAGACCAACUCAUGAUGUUUUUACAAAUGGCUUAGAUCUCCACAACUUUGUUAAGGCUAAGGUCCCAGGACAAGUCAUGCAGGUUGUGGAUCCCACGUUAUUCACUCCAGGAAAAUUGGGGGCAGCUACAGCAGCAGAAAAUAUGGAUGAUGAUGAAACUAUUGAAGAUAGUAUACAAGAAUGUAUUGUAUCAGUCCUUCAAAUUGGACUUGCAUGCUCUAUAGAAGUGCCAAAAGAUCGAAUGAAUAUGAAAGACGUAACAAGCAAACUAAAUGCCAUCAAGGAUGCUUUCGUUCAUAGAGACCAGAAACAAGUUUAGCAUGGAUUUGAUAUAUUGCAGAAGCGCAGCUUCUGCAAUGAGAUGUAGAGCCCCAGAAAAUAGCAGUUUUUCCAUUUCACAUAAAAAGAAUUAAAGAAUGUUUAAAAAAAUAAAUGAAGAAUGGAUUUAAACUUUCUGUAAGUAAUUAUAAUACAAACAAUACAAUUUAAGCCACGCUUGAUUUCUUUUGGUCGGAAAA